GGCCUUGUGGCGGAAUGGUAGACGCUGAGGACUUAAAAUCCUUUGGGCAUUGCGCCCGUGCGGGUUCAAGUCCCGCCAAGGCCACCA
Molecule: transfer RNA, 87 nt
Filed under: Rickettsiales bacterium
Lineage: Bacteria; Pseudomonadati; Pseudomonadota; Alphaproteobacteria; Rickettsiales
Description: tRNA-Leu
Rfam family: tRNA
About the family: Transfer RNA (tRNA) molecules are approximately 80 nucleotides in length. Their secondary structure includes four short double-helical elements and three loops (D, anti-codon, and T loops).
Source: RNAcentral